This 855-nucleotide ribosomal RNA is filed under the name uncultured bacterium. RNAcentral describes it as "bacterial SSU rRNA". It matches the Rfam family "Bacterial small subunit ribosomal RNA", at positions 94 to 954 of the family's 1533-position model. The record is from RNAcentral.
CACGGCGCACGGGUGCGUAACACGUGGGCAAUCUGCCCUCCGGUGGGGAAUAACCCCGCGAAAGCGGGGCUAAUUCCGCAUAACAUUCCCUGGACUCUGGUUCGGGGAUUCAAAGCAGCAAUGCGCCGGAGGAGGAGCCCGCGCCCGAUUAGCUAGUUGGUGAGGUGACGGCUCACCAAGGCAAUGAUCGGUAGCUGGUCUGAGAGGAUGGCCAGCCACACUGGAACUGAGACACGGUCCAGACUCCUACGGGAGGCAGCAGUGGGGAAUCUUGCGCAAUGGGCGAAAGCCUGACGCAGCGACGCCGCGUGGGGGAUGAAGCUUCUCGGAGUGUAAACCCCUUUCGACCGGGACGAAUGCCCGCAAGGGAGUGACGGUACCGGUAGAAGAAGCCCCGGCUAACUACGUGCCAGCAGCCGCGGUAAGACGUAGGGGGCCAGCGUUGUUCGGAAUUACUGGGUGUAAAGGGUUCGUAGGCGGUGUGGCAAGUCGGGAGUGAAAUUUCUGGGCUUAACCCAGAAGCUGCUUCCGAAACUGCUGUGCUAGAGUGCGGGAGAGGCGCGUGGAAUUGCAGGUGUAGCGGUGAAAUGCGUAGAUAUCUGCAGGAACACCCGUGGCGAAAGCGGCGCGCUGGACCGUUACUGACGCUGAGGAACGAAAGCUAGGGGAGCAAACAGGAUUAGAUACCCUGGUAGUCCUAGCCCUAAACGAUCAGGACUUGGGGUGCCUUCCGUUCGGAAGUCGUCCCGGAGCUAACGCGUUAAGUUUUGCACCUGGGGAGUACGGUCGCAAGACUGAAACUCAAAGGAAUUGACGGGGGCCCGCACAAGCGGUGGAACAUGUGGUUCAAUUCGA